CAUCAAAUGACCCUGCACUCCACUGAACAUGACAGACAAGUGCAGAGUUAUUAGAAAGCAGAGCCAUCUUGGUGUGUGUGUGCAGGGGAGCAUGGAAAUCAGAGUUGGCCAAUGGAGCCCUCCAUUCUCACUCCAUGGCGACUGGAUUCCAUGUCCAUGUCAUCCCUCCAAGGUGGAGGAGCUGGAGAGAAGGGGUUCACACUGACAGAGGGAACCGACUAGUUUCAUCAUCCCAGCAUUUCCAGAGCAGACCCACAGCUCCAAAGACACAUCCUCAGCGUCAGGUUGAAGGCCCUUCUGAAUUUGAAGACCCAGAGAUUUUGGGGAGCCAUGAGCUGUUUUCCUGCUGAAGAAGGCCCUGGGUUGAAGCCCUGUACGUGUUAAGCUCCUUACAGAUUUUCCGACUUAGCCGCCUUUUGGGAGCAAGGUGAUCGCGUGAAGGAUUUUGAUGCUGCCCCCAAUAGUGCUGCAUGGUAAAUAGCAAAUUUGGGCAACUGGAUCAUAAAAGAUAAAUUUCAA
Molecule: long non-coding RNA, 519 nt
Organism: Talpa occidentalis (Iberian mole)
Lineage: Eukaryota; Metazoa; Chordata; Mammalia; Eulipotyphla; Talpidae
Exons: 3
Source: RefSeq, a predicted model, not a curated record